RNAcentral lists this long non-coding RNA (1065 nucleotides) under Felis catus (domestic cat). RNAcentral's name for it is "lncRNA (ENSFCAG00000052403.1)". The record is from RNAcentral. Lineage: Eukaryota; Metazoa; Chordata; Mammalia; Carnivora; Felidae.
AAAUCAUCCUCUCCAGAAAGGAGAAUAGAGUCGCUGACCAAAGAACCUGCUGCCCGGAAGGCACAACUUCCAUCCCCCGCCAAAGAAAAGUUGCAAGAAGAGCUCAGCGCCCAGGCAGCCCGCGCGGGUGCGGAUACCGAGAGCAGCAGAGAAGCUCAUCAGGCCCGGGCGGCGCGCGAGCCGGGGCUGCGGCGUCCGUGGGGCCGACUCCGGCUCCGGCAGGCUGCGGGUCUGGGGGUGCGACCGCGAGCAGUGGGCGGAGAAACGAGAGCAGAGGAAAAGAGGGACAAUGCUGGGCCGGGCGGGCGACUCCGCGCGCUCCAAGGGUCCGCAGCGCCUCUUCCCGCCCGGGGCCGCCAGCUGCCGCGCCAAGUUUGCUCCUCAGCCCUCCCUUCACGGCCCGGGCGGCGAAGCCGUGGCUGCCGGCCUCCCUCCGCCUGGCCGCCGCCGCCUUCCUCCCCGCGGGGCGGCUCCCGCGAGUCGGCGAGCCGGCGGCGCGCGCGAGGAGAGCCGCGCGCGCGAAGGGGAGCCGGGCGCGCGAGGGAAACGGGGCGCGAGAGGGAAGGCGGGCGCGCGAGGGGCAGGGGGCGCGCGAGGGGAGGCGGGCGCGCCAGGGGCAGGGGGCGCGCGAGGAAGCGGCGCGCGCGACGGGAGCCGGGCGCGCGGGGGAGCCAGGCGCGCGGCGCUCCCCGAGGACCCGCUGCCGCUCCGGCGGGUUUUCGGUUGAGGCGGGGGCUGCGCCGCCGUUUACCGUCCGUUAUGAGUCUUUGCCCGGGCGCCGCAGCCUGCCAGCCAUCCUGGCCCGCCUCCCCCUCGGCUCUCAUCAGGAAGGGCAGCCGGGCGAGGGCCGGCGACCUCGUCUCCUGCCAGGGCUGCGGCCGCCGGGCGGUGGGCAUCCCGGCGCCUGCCCCUGGGGCUGGAAGAGAAAGUGAAAUGAAGCGUCUUUCCCCAGGCGACACCUACCCGUCCCCAGUCCAAGUGCAGCUGCCUCGCUCCUCGGGCGCCGCCGGUCCCCGCCCUCGGGCCCCGGGCUCCGUUCUCUUGACAAUGGCGCGUCCCCUUUAA